This 403-nucleotide ribosomal RNA is filed under the name Verrucomicrobiota bacterium. RNAcentral's name for it is "Verrucomicrobia bacterium partial 16S ribosomal RNA". It matches the Rfam family "Bacterial small subunit ribosomal RNA", at positions 355 to 776 of the family's 1533-position model. The record is from RNAcentral. Lineage: Bacteria; Pseudomonadati; Verrucomicrobiota.
UGGGGAAUAUUGCACAAUGGGGGAAACCCUGAUGCAGCGACGCCGCGUGAGCGAUGAAGGCUUUCGAGUCGUAAAGCUCUGUCCUAUGGGAAGAUAAUGACGGUACCAUAGAAGAAAGCCCCGGCUAAUUACGUGCCAGCAGCCGCGGUAAUACGUAAGGGGCGAGCGUUGUCCGGAAUUAUUGGGCGUAAAGAGUGCGUAGGCGGCAAAUUAAGUCAGGUGUGAAAGCGUGAGGCUUAACCUCAUUAAGCACUUGAAACUGAUAGACUUGAGUGAAGGAGAGGAAAGUGGAAUUCCUAGUGUAGCGGUGAAAUGCGUAGAUAUUAGGAGGAAUACCGGUGGCGAAGGCGACUUUCUGGACUUUUACUGACGCUCAGGUACGAAAGCGUGGGGAGCAAACAGG